GGGUAGCGGAACACGUACGCAACCUUCCUUUAACUGGAGAAUAGCCCCUCGAAAGAGGGAUUAAUACUCCGUAACAUAUUGAUAAGGCAUCUUAAUAAUAUUAUAGCUCCGGCGGUUAAAGAUGGGCGUGCGCCUGAUUAGAUAGUUGGCAGGGUAACGGCCUACCAAGUCUGCGAUCAGUAACUGGUGUGAGAGCACGACCAGUCACACGGGCACUGAGACACGGGCCCG
This 231-nucleotide ribosomal RNA is filed under the name uncultured bacterium. Its description in RNAcentral is "partial 16S ribosomal RNA". It matches the Rfam family "Bacterial small subunit ribosomal RNA", at positions 104 to 334 of the family's 1533-position model. The record is from RNAcentral.